AUACGUAGGGGGCGAGCGUUGUCCGGAAUGAUUGGGCGUAAAGGGCGCGUAGGCGGCCCGGUAAGUCUGGAGUGAAAGUCCUGUUUUUAAGAUGGGAAUUGCUUUGGAUACUGUCGGGCUUGAGUGCAGGAGAGGUAAGUGGAAUUCCCAGUGUAGCGGUGAAAUGCGUAGAGAUUGGGAGGAACACCAGUGGCGAAGGCGGCCUGCUGGGCUUUUACUGACGCUGAGGCUCGAAAGGGUGGGGAUCAAACAGGAUUAGAUAACCUGGUAGUCCACACUGGAAACGAUGAUUACUAGGUGUGGGGGGACUGACCCCUUCCGUGCCGGAGUUAACACAAUAAGUAAUCCACCUGGGGAGUUCGGCCGCAAGGUUGAAACUCAAAUGAAUUGACGGGG
Molecule: ribosomal RNA, 396 nt
Filed under: uncultured bacterium
Lineage: Bacteria
Description: partial 16S ribosomal RNA
Rfam family: Bacterial small subunit ribosomal RNA
Source: RNAcentral